RNAcentral lists this ribosomal RNA (482 nucleotides) under uncultured bacterium. RNAcentral describes it as "partial 16S ribosomal RNA". It matches the Rfam family "Bacterial small subunit ribosomal RNA", at positions 30 to 507 of the family's 1533-position model. The record is from RNAcentral.
AUUGAACGCUGGCGGCAUGCCUUACACAUGCAAAUCGAACGGUAACGGGCCUUCGGGUGCCGACGAGUGGAGAACGGGUGAGUAAUACAUCGGAACGUGCCCGAUCGUGGGGGAUAACGAGGCGAAAGCUUUGCUAAUACCGCAUACGAUCUACGGAUGAAAGCAGGGGACCGCAAGGCCUUGCGCGGACGGAGCGGCCGAUGGCAGAUUAGGUAGGUGGUGAGAUAAAAGCUUACCAAGCCGACGAUCUGUAGCUGUUCUGAGAGGAUGAUCCGCCACACUGGGACUGAGACACGGCCCAGACUCCUACGGGAGGCAGCAGUGGGGAAUUUUGGACAAUGGGCGCAAGCCUGAUCCAGCCAUGCCGCGUGCAGGAUUAAGGCCUUCGGGUUGUAAGCUGAUUUUGUACGGAACGAAAAGCCUUCUUUUAAUACAGGAGGGUCAUGACGGUACCGUAAGAAUAAGCACCGGCUAACUACGUG